UGCCUUGUGUUCGAAUCAGUCUGCACUAUU
This 30-nucleotide non-coding RNA is filed under the name Mus musculus (house mouse). The record is from RNAcentral. Lineage: Eukaryota; Metazoa; Chordata; Mammalia; Rodentia; Muridae.